Molecule: ribosomal RNA, 591 nt
Filed under: uncultured bacterium
Lineage: Bacteria
Description: partial 16S ribosomal RNA
Rfam family: Bacterial small subunit ribosomal RNA
Source: RNAcentral
UGGGGAAUAUUGGACAAUGGGGGCAACCCUGAUCCAGCCAUGCCGCGUGUGUGAAGAAGGCCUUUUGGUUGUAAAGCACUUUAAGCAGGGAGGAGAGGCUAAUGGUUAAUACCCAUUAGAUUAGACGUUACCUGCAGAAUAAGCACCGGCUAACUCUGUGCCAGCAGCCGCGGUAAUACAGAGGGUGCGAGCGUUAAUCGGAAUUACUGGGCGUAAAGCGAGUGUAGGUGGCUCAUUAAGUCACAUGUGAAAUCCCCGGGCUUAACCUGGGAACUGCAUGUGAUACUGGUGGUGCUAGAAUAUGUGAGAGGGAAGUAGAAUUCCCAGGUGUAGCGGUGAAAUGCGUAGAGAUCUGGAGGAAUACCGAUGGCGAAGGCAGCUUCCUGGCAUAAUAUUGACACUGAGAUUCGAAAGCGUGGGUAGCAAACAGGAUUAGAUACCCUGGUAGUCCACGCCGUAAAACGAUGUCUACUAGCCGUUGGGGUCCUUGAGACUUUAGUGGCGCAGUUAACGCGAUAAGUAGACCGCCUGGGGGAGUACGGCCGCAAGGUUAAAAACUCAAAGGAAUUGACGGGGUCAUAGCUGUUUCCU